RNAcentral lists this ribosomal RNA (665 nucleotides) under uncultured bacterium. RNAcentral's name for it is "bacterial SSU rRNA". It matches the Rfam family "Bacterial small subunit ribosomal RNA", at positions 61 to 727 of the family's 1533-position model. The record is from RNAcentral.
GUCGACGAGAAUCUGCUGAAGGAGGAUUCGUCCACGGAAGCAGAGGAAAGUGGCGGACGGGUGAGUAACGCGUGAGGAACCUGCCUUGAAGAGGGGGACAACAGUUGGAAACGACUGCUAAUACCGCAUGACGCAUAGAGGUCGCAUGAUCUUUAUGCCAAAGAUUUAUCGCUUCAAGAUGGCCUCGCGUCUGAUUAGCUGGUUGGCGGGGUAACGGCCCACCAAGGCGACGAUCAGUAGCCGGACUGAGAGGUUGAACGGCCACAUUGGGACUGAGAUACGGCCCAGACUCCUACGGGAGGCAGCAGUGGGGAAUAUUGGGCAAUGGGCGCAAGCCUGACCCAGCAACGCCGCGUGAAGGAAGAAGGCUUUCGGGUUGUAAACUUCUUUUAAGAGGGAAGAGCAGAAGACGGUACCUCUAGAAUAAGCCACGGCUAACUACGUGCCAGCAGCCGCGGUAAUACGUAGGUGGCAAGCGUUGUCCGGAUUUACUGGGUGUAAAGGGCGUGCAGCCGGGUCUGCAAGUCAGAUGUGAAAUCCAUGGGCUCAACCCAUGAACUGCAUUUGAAACUGUGGAUCUUGAGUGUCGGAGGGGCAAUCGGAAUUCCUAGUGUAGCGGUGAAAUGCGUAGAUAUUAGGAGGAACACCAGUGGCGAAGGCGGAUU